This is a long non-coding RNA of Rhineura floridana, 2090 nucleotides long. RefSeq lists it as uncharacterized. The record is from RefSeq and is a predicted model, not a curated record. Lineage: Eukaryota; Metazoa; Chordata; Lepidosauria; Squamata; Rhineuridae. The transcript has 2 exons.
AUUUCACAGAAGUUGCAGGGGGGGAGGUGGCAGAUGUUUUGGUGUAUAUCUCGUGAACCAGACCACCUAGAAAUGUAAUUUUUUUUAAUUAAAGCUGAGAGUCCGGAGAUUAAGGUGACUCACCCAGAGACUCAGAGAGGACUCCAAAAAGCUGGAGUAUCCGGCCGAAAACUGGACACCUGAUAACCCUACUGAGCAUAUGCGCAAUUCUUUCAGCAACGGGAUGACAUGUUGGCGAUACACUGCCCCAGUGAGCAGGCUUGCUGCCACAUUUUGCACCAGCUACAGCUUCCGGACCAACCUCAAGGGCAGCCCCACAUAGACCGCAUUACAGUAAUCCAGCCUGGAGGUUACCAGUGUGUGGACAACAGUGGUCAGGCUAUCCCAGUCAGCUGUCUUACCAGCCAAACCUGGCAAAAGGCUCUCCUAGCCACUGAGGUCACCUGGGCCUCUAGCGACAAAGAUGGAUCCAGAAGCACCCACAGACUACGGACCUACUCUUUCAGAAGGGGUACAAUCCCAUCCAUAGCAGGCAACUGACCAAUUAUUUGAACUCGGGAACCACCAAUCCUCAGCUCCUCUGCCUUGCUAGGUUUCAGACUCAGUUUAUCCCCUUCAGGCUUCUCUACUCCAUGUGAAAGAUGAUGACUCUUUAACAACUUGUUUUCAAUAACCUUUACUGUCUUCAUUGCUGUCUUCUGAACUCAUUCUGAUUUGUCUACAUCCUUCUUAAAGUGUGGUGCCCAGAACUAGACACAGUACUCCAGAUGAGGUCUGACUGGUACAGAAUUAAAUGGAAUUAUUGGUUCCUGUGACGUGAAAAUUAUAGCUCUAUGAAUUUCAUCUAAACUCUCAUUAGUCUUUUUGUUGCAGCAUCACACUAUUUACUCAUGUUCAGGUUGUGAUGAUGGACUAUAAUCCUGAGAUCCUUUACACAUGUACUACUGCCAAGCCAGGUUUUUUCCCCAUCCUAUACCUGUGCGUUUGAUUUUUUUUUGUCUUUUGACAUGCCCCUUCUAUGAUGAGCUUCCGCCGGGCCUUCAAGACCUGGCUCUUCAGGCAGGCUUUUGGGGUGGGUUAGGUUUUUUACUGAUUAUGGUUUUAAAUGUUAAUGUUUUAAUGUAUUGUUUUAUCUUGUACGUCGCCCAGAGUGGCUGGACAACCAGCCAGAUGGGCGACUAAUAAAUUUAAUAAAUAAAAUAAUAAUAAUAAUAAUAAUUGGUUUUAGCUUCAGCACCACUCCUAUGCCUUCCCAUAGGUCAUUACCAACAGUAAUGUAAUAGGCACAUUAUUCAGAAUAGAGACACAGUAAUUCUUGCUAAAGAAUUCGCAUUUUGCUAAAUAUAUUUAAUUUACUAUAUACCUAACUUUGUAAUGCCGGGCCUGUGUUCUCAGAUAUAGAAUUUUCACUUUUUCGUUCUGGAAGUUUACUUAAUUUAAUCACUAACACAUACUUCUAAUCACUGAAAUGUUUUGUAUGUUUCUCUCUUUCUUUGCUAACUUGCAACUCUUUCCAAUUCAACACUGACUGUCAUGUUAAUUAGUAUGCUAUUCAUAUUGUUUCUUCUUUUGAGAUCAUUAAUGGAGAAGUUAAACAGCAUUGAUUUUUGUGGCUUAAUUUACAGCCUUCCAAUUACAUUUCAGCCCAUAUGAUUUGCUAAUACACAGUCCAGCUUGAAAUAAGUGUGUGAGGCAGAUGAUUUUAGAGGGGGGCAUAUGCUCACUAACAAUUUCAUUCAAUAAUGUUUAGCUUCACACCAUAGUGACUGUUCUGUUUUUUUUCCUAUGGGAAGUUUCUUGGUGGCAAUUAAGUUUAAAUCCUUGGUGGAGAUUAAGUAAACCACAUCAUUAAGCUUCACUGACUACUCAAGAGGACCUGGAAGUGUAGUUGGAUGAUUCCUAGCCCUCUGUAUUGAUCCUAGAGAAAGGUAGAUUACUCUUGUACAAAUGUCUGCACUACUCUCUACGCAAUGGAGCACAGCUGAGAUUACCCCAUUCUUUUAAUGAACAUCUAUACACUUUUUUUUUUAAAUCCUCUUUCAGAUUGAAUUUGUUAUGUGACGCUGUAUUAAUAAACAAGUCAGACCAUU